Molecule: ribosomal RNA, 914 nt
Filed under: uncultured Thermoplasmatales archaeon
Lineage: Archaea; Methanobacteriati; Thermoplasmatota; Thermoplasmata; Thermoplasmatales
Description: bacterial SSU rRNA
Rfam family: Archaeal small subunit ribosomal RNA
Source: RNAcentral
UCCGGUUGAUCCUGCCGGAGGUCACCGCUAUUGGGAUUCGAUUAAGCCAUGCGAGUCGAGAGGGUUCGGCCCUCGGCGGACUGCUCAGUAACACGUGGAUAAUCUGCCCUAAGGAGGAGGAUAACCUCGGGAAACUGAGAAUAAUACUCCAUAGGUCUAGAAGGCUGGAAUGCAUCUAGACUGAAAGCUCCGGCGCCUUAGGAUGAGUCUGCGGACUAUCAGGUUGUAGUCAGGGUAAAGGCCUGACUAGCCUACGACGGAUACGGGUUGUGAGAGCAAUAACCCGGAGACGAUAUCUGAGACACGAUAUCGGGCCCUACGGGGCGCAGCAGGCGCGAAACCUUCGCACUGUGUGAAAACACGAUGAGGGGAUCCCAAGUGCUUGCACGUAAGUGUAAGCUGUUUCUUUGUUUAAAAUGCAUAGAGAGUAAGGGCUGGGUAAGACGGGUGCCAGCCGCCGCGGUAAUACCUGCAGCUCAAGUGGUGACCGCUAUUAUUGGGCCUAAAACGUCCGUAGCCUGCUUGGUAAAUGCCUGGGUAAAUCGCAUCGCUUAACGAUGCGAAUUCCGGGUAGACUGUCAAGCUUGAGACCGGGAGAAGUUAGAGGUACUCCUGGGGUAGAGGUGAAAUUCUGUAAUCCUAGGGGGACCACCAGUGGCGAAAGCGUCUAACUAGAACGGGUCUGACGGUGAGGGACGAAGCCCUGGGGCGCGAACCGGAUUAGAUACCCGGGUAGUCCAGGGUGUAAACGCUGCUUGCUUGAUGUUAGUCGGGCUCCGAGCCCGAUUAGUGUCGGAGAGAAGUUGUUAAGCAAGCUGCCUGGGAAGUACGGCCGCAAGGCUGAAACUUAAAGGAAUUGGCGGGGGAGCACAGCAACGGGUGGAGCGUGCGGUUUAAUUGGAUUCAACGCCGGA